CCAAUAGCGUAUAUUAAAGUUGUUGCAGUUAAAAAGCUCGUAGUUGAACUUCGAGAUUUAUUCAUUGGUCAGGCUUAAUUGUCUGUACUGGUGAUAUGAAUCUUUACCUUCUGAGGAACUUUCAUGCCAUUUAUUUGGUGUGAUUGGAAAUCAGGACUAUUACUUUGAAAAAAUUAGAGUGUUUAAAGCAGGCUAACGUCUGAAUACAUUAGCAUGGAAUAAUGAAAUAGGACGGAUUGGUUCUAUUUUGUUGGUUUCUAGGAUCACCGUAAUGAUUAAUAGGGAUAGUUGGGGGCAUUAGUAUUCAAUUGUCAGAGGUGAAAUUCUUGGAUUUAUUGAAGACUAACUACUGCGAAAGCAUUUGCCAAGGAUGUUUUCAUUAAUCAAGAACGAAAGUUAGGGGAUCGAAGACGAUCAGAUACCGUCGUAGUCUUAACCAUAAACUAUGCCGACUAGGGAUCGGACGAAGUUAAUUUUAUAAUGACGCGUUCGGCACCUUACG
RNAcentral lists this ribosomal RNA (502 nucleotides) under uncultured Glomeromycotina. RNAcentral describes it as "partial small subunit ribosomal RNA". It matches the Rfam family "Eukaryotic small subunit ribosomal RNA", at positions 591 to 1092 of the family's 1831-position model. The record is from RNAcentral. Lineage: Eukaryota; Fungi; Glomeromycota.